GACUGGUCCGAUGUAGUGAGUUUCAUCAAUUGAUAUUUCUCAGUCAGUUCACUUCAAUCCCAGUUUGUUUCCCCUACCUGCUCACUACGUGACUUGACCAGUUUUUU
This is a Y RNA of 107 nucleotides. It matches the Rfam family "Y RNA". From Rfam's summary of the family: Y RNAs are components of the Ro ribonucleoprotein particle (Ro RNP), in association with Ro60 and La proteins. The Y RNAs and Ro60 and La proteins are well conserved, but the function of the Ro RNP is not known. The record is from Ensembl.